AUGCUGUUGCCGCUGAUCUCCGCUGCCGGAGGAGCCGGAGGGCCACCGGCUGGGCUGGAGCCCAUGAUAGGGAAGCCGGGGUGCGAGACCAGGUGCGGCAACGUGAGUGUGCCGUUCCCGUUCGGGUUCGGCCCGGCCAGGUGCUCGGCGACGGGCCUCAACCUCACCUGCGACAACACCACCCGCCCUGGCAAGCCGCCCCGGCUGCUCCUCGGCGAGGGCGGCGUCUUCCAGCAGGUCGAGGAGAUCUCGAUCCAACUAAGCACGGUGCGCGUCGUCACGCCACCUAUCUUCAGCCCUGCGAGGUCGAACCUCAGCGCCGACGACUACGGCGCCGUGAAGAGAGCGUCAUGGGGCGGCGGCCGCCUCGACAGCCACAGCAUCUUCCAGUACACGCUGUCGUCUAAGUCCGACUACCUCGGCACCUUACGCCCCGAGCUGGUGGUGGUGGGGUGCAACGUGCAGGCGACGCUGCACACCGAGAUCAGCCGCGGGAACAGCUACGUCGUCGGCUGCUCCUCCUACUGCGACGGCCAUCGUGCACUCACCGCCGACGACGUCCGGAACGACAGCGCCGGCUACUGCGUUGCCACCAUCGACACGGCCCAAACGUACUACAACGUGGAGGUCACACGACUGGGCAACGGCAGCGCGGUCAACGACGACCUGCCCGUGUCCGUGCUCCUCGUCAAGGCUGAUUUCGGUGCACAGGAUCUGCCCAACCGGGUGCGUGUUGUAUGUUCUAUGUACGUAGAUAUGGACGAGUGCAAGGACCCAGUACACAACCGAUGUUUCGGCGAGUGCGUCAAUAAUAUGGGAUCAUUUGACUGCUGGUGUCCACAAGGAUACCAUAGAAACCCUAGACGACCCGAUGGUUGCAUCAAGUCCAUGAAGAGUGUAAAGAACACAGGUUUAAUCAUUGGUAUCUCAGUUUCUGUUGUCCCCUGCCUCAUACUUUUGGCUCUCGGUGGAAUCUUAAUAAUCCGCAAGCUUAAGCAUCACACGGCUGAAAGGAUAAAACUGAAGUUCUUCAAUCAAAAUCGUGGGCAGCUGUUGCAGCAACUCAUAUCCAAUAGGUCUGAUAUUGGAGAGAGGAUGAUUGUCCCUCCAAACGAGCUAGACAAGGCAACAAACAAUUUUGAUCAAAUUCGUAAGCUCGGUGGAGGAGGCCAUGGUACCAUCUACAAAGGUAUAUUGUCAGAUCUACAUGUGGUGGCCAUCAAGAAGUCAAAUAUUGUUGUUCAAAGAGAGAUUGAUGAGUUCAUAAAUGAGGUUGCCAUACUAUCACAAAUCAAUCAUAGGAACGUUGUGAAACUUCAUGGAUGUUGUCUCGAGACCGAAAUCCCAUUGCUAGCCUACGAGUUCAUUUCCAAUGGAAUCCUUAGUGAGCAUCUUCAUCAUGCGUCACCAAGAUCAAUACCUUGGAGAGACAGGCUCAGGAUCGCAUGUGAAGUAGGCAAAGCCAUUGCGUAUCUUCAUUCUGCUAUUUCAAUCCCUGUUAUACAUAGAGAUAUCAAAUCUUCCAACAUACUUCUUGAUGAUGCCUUGACAACAAAGGUAUCUGACUUCGGUGCGUCAAGGUACAUUCCUGUAAAUCAGACGGGGAUAACAGCAACAACAGUGCAGGGAACUAUAGGAUAUCUUGAUCCUAUGUAUUAUUACACAGGACGACUAUCAGAAAUGAGUGAUGUUUAUAGCUUCGGAGUUCUUCUUGUUGAGUUGCUUACGAGGAAGAUGCCAAUCACAUAUAGGUCCUCUGAAGGUGAUGGACUUGUUAUGCAAUUUGUUGAAAUACUUUAACAAGACAAUCUAGUUGACCUAAUAGAUUCACAAGUUGCAGCGGAAGGAGGCAAUGAAGUCCAAGAAGUCGCUUGCCUAGCUGCAUCCUGCUUAAAAUUAAAGGGAGAGGAGAGACCAACCACGAGGCAACUAGAGAUUGCACUCGAAGGCCUCCAAGCAACCAAGGAGCAUCCCCUAUUUGAUUCAAGAGCCAUUCAGAAUGAGGAGAACUAUAUUGAAACAAGUUAUCCAUCUACUGCAAGAAGUACAAGCUUGGAUGAAGUGAGCAGACUAUACAACCAAGAAGAAGAGUUCUCGCUCCAUGCAAGAUACCCUCGUUAA
Molecule: ribosomal RNA, 2121 nt
Filed under: Triticum aestivum (bread wheat)
Lineage: Eukaryota; Viridiplantae; Streptophyta; Magnoliopsida; Poales; Poaceae
Description: partial small subunit ribosomal RNA
Source: RNAcentral